CCAAGUUAAAGUGAGACCUGUGUUAAUCAAUCUUGCUACCUGUCAAGGUGGAGAAGAGCAAGCGGAGAAGUGGUUGUUAACUCGCUGUCACAUUCCGGAGGGGCUGGAGGAGCAGGGAGAGCACAGGUGUGUGGUGGAGAGACACAAGAUGGCAGAGUGGGAAUUUCCUCACAUUAAAGCUGAAUUUGGAUUGAACUGAUUGGAGCCAUUCACCAAGGCAGCACUAUGCAGGCA
RNAcentral lists this long non-coding RNA (234 nucleotides) under Fukomys damarensis (Damara mole-rat). Its description in RNAcentral is "lncRNA (ENSFDAG00000023613.1)". The record is from RNAcentral. Lineage: Eukaryota; Metazoa; Chordata; Mammalia; Rodentia; Bathyergidae.